UCUCCGCUUGCGCGGGCAGUCUUUUUAGAGUCCCCACCAUUACGUGCUGGCAACUAAAAAUAAGGGUUGCGCUCGUUGCGGGACUUAACCCAACACCUCACGGCACGAGCUGACGACAGCCAUGCAGCACCUGUACAGGCGUCCCGAAGGAGGGCCCCUGUUUCCAGGGGCUUUCCCCUGCAUGUCAAGCCCAGGUAAGGUUCUUCGCGUUGCGUCGAAUUAAACCACAUGCUCCACCGCUUGUGCGGGCCCCCGUCAAUUCCUUUGAGUUUCAGCCUUGCGGCCGUACUCCCCAGGCGGGGCACUUAAUGCGUUAGCGCCGGCACCCAGGGGGUCGCUCCCCCAGGCACCUAGUGCCCAUCGUUUACGGCGUGGACUAC
RNAcentral lists this unclassified non-coding RNA (380 nucleotides) under uncultured bacterium. RNAcentral describes it as "contains 16S-23S intergenic spacer region". The record is from RNAcentral.